UGGGGAAUAUUGCACAAUGGGCGCAAGCCUGAUGCAGCCAUGCCGCGUGUAUGAAGAAGGCCUUCGGGUUGUAAAGUACUUUCAGCGGGGAGGAAGGGAGUAAAGUUAAUACCUUUGCUCAUUGACGUUACCCGCAGAAGAAGCACCGGCUAACUCCGUGCCAGCAGCCGCGGUAAUACGGAGGGUGCAAGCGUUAAUCGGAAUUACUGGGCGUAAAGCGCACGCAGGCGGUUUGUUAAGUCAGAUGUGAAAUCCCCGGGCUCAACCUGGGAACUGCAUCUGAUACUGGCAGGCUUGAGUCUCGUAGAGGGGGGUAGAAUUCCAGGUGUAGCGGUGAAAUGCGUAGAGAUCUGGAGGAAUACCGGUGGCGAGGGCGGCCCCCUGGACGAAGACUGACGCUCAGGUGCGAAAGCGUGGGGAGCAAACAGG
This 429-nucleotide ribosomal RNA is filed under the name Chloroflexota bacterium. RNAcentral describes it as "Chloroflexi bacterium partial 16S ribosomal RNA". It matches the Rfam family "Bacterial small subunit ribosomal RNA", at positions 355 to 776 of the family's 1533-position model. Lineage: Bacteria; Bacillati; Chloroflexota. The record is from RNAcentral.